GGAGUUUGGGCCGUGUCUCAGUCCCAAUGUGGCCGUUCACCCUCUCAGGCCGGCUACAGAUCGUCGCUUUGGUGGGCCGUUACCCCGCCAACUGGCUAAUCUGACGCGGGUCCAUCUCUAUCCACCGGAGUUUUUCACACUGUACGAUGCCGUACUGUGCGCUUAUGCGGUAUUAGCAGUCAUUUCUAACUGUUAUCCCCCUGAUAGAGGCAGGUUACCCACGCGUUACUCACCCGUCCGCCGCUCAGUCAUCCCUUGUUUCAAUCCGAAGAAAUCAACUCGGGCGCUUCGCUCGACUUGCAUGUGUUAAGCACGCCGCCAGCGUUCAUC
RNAcentral lists this ribosomal RNA (330 nucleotides) under uncultured Ruminococcus sp. RNAcentral describes it as "partial 16S ribosomal RNA". Lineage: Bacteria; Bacillati; Bacillota; Clostridia; Eubacteriales; Oscillospiraceae. The record is from RNAcentral.